This is a long non-coding RNA of Gasterosteus aculeatus aculeatus (three-spined stickleback), 2054 nucleotides long. Lineage: Eukaryota; Metazoa; Chordata; Actinopteri; Perciformes; Gasterosteidae. The record is from Ensembl.
GGUGAUCCUUAUUGCCGUUUUCCAGUGAUGACCCCCUUGUGUGCAUAGUUUCAUUCCAAGUAGGUAUUUCAUUCGCUUAUUUAGGCUGGAGGCUGAGUCCAAAAAAUGUACCAUUACUGCGGAAUCAAUUGACGAGCCUCUUUGGCUGCAGUGAACUUGUCUUCAUGAGGGCUCAAAACCUCCAUCGAUGACGACUGCUGUUUUGCCAGGGAGCCAUGAACCUGAACCUGAACUCGAAGGUUGUCGAGGGCGAGUGGUCAGGACGAUAGACUAGAAUCCAUUGGGGUCUCCCCGCGCAAUUCCAAAUUGUCUGUUCUUUAGAUAGGUCUCGUUUUUCCCAUCCCAUGUUUGAACAUAAGCAAGCGAUGGUGGUAUAGUGGUGAGCAUAGCUGCCUUCCCAGCAGUUGACCUGGGUUCGAUUCCCGGCCAUCGCAGGUGUUUUCCUCUGUAUCACUUACACUAUCUUAAAGUGUUUAGGUUCAAACCGCCAGUCGGUCUUUCGUCAGUGACAAGUUUGGGAGCACCAAUGUGAGAAUGGCGGAAAGCCUUCCCUGUGUCCGAAGCCUGGUGAUCCUUAUUGCCGUUUUCCAGUGAUGACCCUCGGGCAUUUCGUUUGCCCGGUGGGCAGUGGUACCAGGUAUCAUUUAUUUAAUGUUUGUUUCAGCCCUAAAUAGUCCGCACCGUUUAUUCAAGUGGAUCUUCGCUCGUGGCCCUGAACGUCCUUGCAUGGCAGUGAUAGACUCUAAAAUAAUCUGGUCUCACCUGACCCGUUUGCAGUUCUGAAGAAGGAGGUCCGUCAGUUGACCUGCCAACCUGGGAUCAAGUUAGGUUUGUGGUCUUAUGUGACCAGUCCAGCUGACUUCAUGGAGAUGUUGCGGGCUAACCGGACCAGUCAAGCUAACACCGCGUUUUCUAGCCUAACGCAACCUUCUAUCGGACUCCAGUCACGCCUCAUGGAUAUUGGGAAGCAAGAGUUGGCAUGUUUCUUAAAACUGGGGUCAUGAGUCGUGAUCUACUUGGCUACGGCACCCGCUAUCUGCUUUGCUGCUGUUCUGCAUGUUAACCGCCCUAUCUUCGCAGGUUGAGCACCAGCUGUCGAGUUGGAUGUUACCUUCCUGAGUUCUCUGAACACUCACCCUAGCUUCACAUCACCGUGGCAGGUUGCUAACUGUCUCUGCAAUUCUGGUCUCCAGACGUCCUACGGCCGGCCAUGCUGCUCCGGACGUGGCGCGUACUCCGAGCUCUAAUAGAGGCGGUCCUACACACUCCCAAUAUGGAGGCCCUCGCUGGCGGGUGGCUCGCACUGAUUGCCGCUGUGCUGGUUUUGAAUCUAUACCACAACAUCUCAGGAUCCACCUCCCCAUUAUUCUCAACCUAGAAUAACUGCUAGAGCUGCAGCAGCUAACCAAGGCAUUCCCGUGAUAAGCCGGCAGCUGAUAGGGUGGUGGUCGUCGUCUGCUGUGACGUUCCACUUUCGCCCUGACCAUAACAAGCAAGCAAGCAAAGCAAAGCAAAGCAAAGCAAGAUCUGUGAAGCCACAAAGAGCUGAUAAGCACGCAUAUAACUGGUGCUGGUGUUUUCCCUUCUGGCAAUGUUGGAAGGGCACUUCAGUGUCCCCUUGCAGGGGACCACCAUUGUUCCUUACAGUCUCCCUUAAAUCUAAUCUUCUAGGUGAACGUGACCUGGCUUAACGUGUCUGUGUUUCCUAGGUUUGACGCUACCUGGCUUAUCGUGUCUGUUUCCUGGUCUAACGGGACCACAUCCAUUUCCCAAAAGAUGUCCGGAUGGACCUGUCAAGCUGACUACCUUUCUUCUUCGCGGUCUCACAGGACCAGUUAAGCUGACUACCUUUCCAUUUCGCAGUCCCGCGACCGGUCAUUCUAGAUAAUAGCCAGUUGCGCGGUCUGAGCUCAAUCCGUCAAGCGAUGGAGUCGGGUCAGCGGGCUAACUGGAUCAGUCAAGGACACCCAUGUGACCAUCUGUUUCCCGGUCUGGGCAAACCCGGUCAAGUUGUUCUGUGAGGGGCCCCUCCACUACUAAGUCUAUUCUGCGGC